Molecule: long non-coding RNA, 1408 nt
Filed under: Homo sapiens (human)
Lineage: Eukaryota; Metazoa; Chordata; Mammalia; Primates; Hominidae
Description: HSALNT0008001
Source: RNAcentral
AUAACACUCAUAGAAAAGCACACAAAUAAUAAAGGUACGACUCAAUGAAUUUUCACUAAGGAAAAUAUCAUCUAGAUUUUUAAAAUAGAACAUUGUCACUCCCAGUCUCCCCUUGUGCCACUUUCCAGUCACAAACCCUCUCUCUUCCCCAGAGAUAAUCACUACCCUGACUUCUGUUAUCACAGGGUAGUUUUGCCUGUUUGAACUUUAUGUGAAUGGAAUCAUACAGUCCAUACUCUUUGUGUUUGGAACUCAUCAUUUAUUUUUGUGAGACUCAUACACGUUCCUGCAUGUAGUAAUAGUUGGUCCAUUUCACUGCUCUAUAGGAUUCCAUUGACUAGACUACCAUGUAUGUAGCUAUUCAACAGUGACUAGAACUUUAAAUUGUUUCCAGUUUGAGGGAAUUAUGGAUAGUACUGCUAUAACCAUUCAUGAUUAUGUCCCAUAGUGUACACAUGUACACAUUUCUGUUGAGUCUAUGCCUAGGAGUGGAAUUGCCAGGUCAUAGGUAUAUGUAUAUUCAUGUUUAGUAGAUACUGACAGUUUUCCAAGAUAGUUGCACUAAUUUACACUCCCAGGAGCAAUGUGAGUUCCAUUUGCUCUACCCCUACAUCCUUGCCAGCACUUCAUAUCUAUAUUUUUAUUAUAAGCUAUUCUGAAGAGUAUGCAGUGAUAUCUUAUUGAGGCUUAAUUUGCAUUUCCCUAAUAACUAAUGAUGUUGAGCAAUUUUUCAUAUGACUCACCUUUUAAAUAUAUUCUUUUGUGAAGUGUUUGUUUAUACCUUUGCUCAUUUCUCUCUUGGGUUGUCUUUUUCUUAUUGCUUUGCAGACAUUCUUUAUAUAUUGCACGAAUUUACUAGGGCAGCCAGACAACCAUAAUAAAGUACCACAAACUGGAUGACUUGAAUAACAGAAAUGUAUUUUCUCAAAGUUCUGGAGCCCAGGAGUCUGAGACCAAGGUGCUGGCAGAGUUGGUUCCUUCUGAGGGCUGUGAGGGAGAAUCUGCCCUGGCUUCUGAGGGUCCAUAAAAGCCCCGGGCUUAGCUAGAGCAAGAGAGGAGGGAGAGAACGGAGAGAAGAAGGCACAGGAAGACCAGCUGCAGAGAGGAGCUACCCUCUCUGCUGAGAGCUUCAGAGACCUGCAGAGACAUCCGGACUACCAGCUGCAGACAGGAGCAACCCUCUCCAGGGCCUCCUCUCUGCUGAGAGCAGCAGACGUCGGGAUAACCUGCCUACAGAAAGGAGCUACCCACUGUGGGUCUCCUCUGAGCCGUUCUAACACUUAAUAAAGCUCAUCUUCAUCUUGUUCACCCUUCACUUGUUUGCAUAUCUCAUUCUUCCUGGACACAGGACAAGAACUCAGGCUGGCCACAGAGGUUUCCAGCCAGAAAAUUGACACCUCAAAGAUUC